RNAcentral lists this ribosomal RNA (484 nucleotides) under uncultured bacterium. RNAcentral's name for it is "partial 16S ribosomal RNA". It matches the Rfam family "Bacterial small subunit ribosomal RNA", at positions 28 to 507 of the family's 1533-position model. The record is from RNAcentral.
AUUGAACGCUGGCGGCAUGCUUUACACAUGCAAGUCGAACGGCAGCGCGGGCUUCGGCCUGGCGGCGAGUGGCGAACGGGUGAGUAAUGCAUCGGAACGUGCCCAGUAGUGGGGGAUAGCCCGGCGAAAGCCGGAUUAAUACCGCAUACGACCUGAGGGUGAAAGCGGGGGACCGAAAGGCCUCGCGCUAUUGGAGCGGCCGAUGUCGGAUUAGCUAGUUGGUGGGGUAAAGGCUUACCAAGGCGACGAUCCGUAGCUGGUCUGAGAGGACGACCAGCCACACUGGGACUGAGACACGGCCCAGACUCCUACGGGAGGCAGGAGUGGGGAAUUUUGGACAAUGGGGGCAACCCUGAUCCAGCCAUGCCGCGUGCGGGAAGAAGGCCUUCGGGUUGUAAACCGCUUUUGUUCGGGAAGAAAUCCUCUGGGCUAAUACCCCGGGGGGAUGACGGUACCGGAAGAAUAAGCACCGGCUAACUACGUG